RNAcentral lists this ribosomal RNA (380 nucleotides) under uncultured eukaryote. RNAcentral describes it as "partial 18S ribosomal RNA". It matches the Rfam family "Eukaryotic small subunit ribosomal RNA", at positions 592 to 977 of the family's 1831-position model. The record is from RNAcentral.
CAAUAGCGUAUAUUUAAGUUGUUGCAGUUAAAAAGCUCGUAGUUGGAUUUCGGAUGGGAUUUGCCGGUCCGUCGUUACGAUGUGCACUGGCCAGUCCUAUCUUGUUGUCGGGGACUAGCUCCUUGGAUUCACUUCCUGGGACUAGGAGCUGACGAGGUUACUUUGAGUAAAUUAGAGUGUUCAAAGCAAGCCUACGCUCUGAAUACAUUAGCAUGGAAUAACACGAUAGGACUCUGGCUUAUCUUGUUGGUCUGUGAGACCAGAGUAAUGAUUAAGAGGGACAGUCGGGGACAUUCGUAUUUCAUUGUCAGAGGUGAAAUUCUUGGAUUUAUGAAAGACGAACUUCUGCGAAAGCAUUUGUCAAGGAUGUUUUCAUUAAG